This 815-nucleotide long non-coding RNA is filed under the name Brassica napus (rape). RNAcentral's name for it is "long non-coding RNA (BNAP_LNC017826)". Lineage: Eukaryota; Viridiplantae; Streptophyta; Magnoliopsida; Brassicales; Brassicaceae. The record is from RNAcentral.
UUUAAGAGGGGGUGUUGAAAGCUAAACUUGAUUUGGAUCACAUUUUGGGCUAAUAAUUUACUAACAAUUUUAGUCCAAACUUAGUCCAAUAUCUAGAAUUAUCUUCCACCUCCUUAGAAUAAAAAUCUAGAUAUUCUCAUAGAAUUAUCUAGAUAAUUAUGAUAAAAAAUCUUAGAUAUUAUGAUAGAAUUCUCUAGAUUUAGGAUUAAAAUAUGUAAGAUAUUUUGUAUUUUGGAGGUUAUAAAUACUUCCACUCUCUUCUCAUUUUGUAUCACCAAAAAUUAUCCAAGUUUGUAAGAAUCAUCUAAGUAAUAAGAAUCUUCUUAUAAGUUAUAAAAUCUUUUUUUUUCACGAAAUUUCUUUUUCUUCGAACAUUUAAAACACUUUCUCCGUCUUUGUAAAGUUUUUCAUUCCAACGGUAAUUACCAUCGCGACAACAACAACAACACAGUUCCAUGUUAGUUACCUUCUUCAUGUUGUGUUCUUGGCUCUGUUCAGCUGUUGUGUCCUCUCGGCUCUGUUACUCUCAUGUGCAGAUGGAGCAUCCAGUGACAGCGACCUAGCGUAUUCCGGCAACAUCCCUGGACCCUGAUGCCGGAGGUGCUAGCUGCGGUGGUGGCUGUGGAGAUUAAGAGUUCUUUCGUCUUCGUCGUGGAAAUAGACAAAAGUAAUGGGCUAUUUUGUAUAGAGCUUAUUCGUUGUUUUUUCAUAAAUAUAAGAAUAUAUGUUGUAUUGUGGUUUUUGUGGCCAGCUUUGGUAUUGAGAUCUUUCGUUGUUUUUCAUCAAUAAUAUAAGAAUUGGUUGUUUAUGACGCA